RNAcentral lists this long non-coding RNA (321 nucleotides) under Monodelphis domestica (gray short-tailed opossum). RNAcentral describes it as "lncRNA (ENSMODG00000044174.1)". Lineage: Eukaryota; Metazoa; Chordata; Mammalia; Didelphimorphia; Didelphidae. The record is from RNAcentral.
CUGGAGAGUGGUAUUUAAUAUUUUUCUUUUUAUUUCUUUGUUUUUUUUGUUCCUUCUUUCUUUCCUUUCUUUCCUUUCUUUCUUUUCUUUCUUUCUUUUCUUUCUUUCUUUUCUUUCUCUCUCUCUCUCUUUCUCUCUUUCUCUCUUUCUUUUCUUUCUUUCUUUCUGUGUUUCUUUCUUUCUUUUUUCUCUCUUUCUUUCUCUCUCUCUUUCUUUCUUUCUUUCUCUCUCUUUCUCUCUCUAUGUCUCUCUCUUUCUUUCUUUCUCUCUCUUUCUUUCUCUCUAUCGCUUUCUCUCUUUCUCUCUUUCUUUCUUUCUUUC